This is a long non-coding RNA of Anguilla rostrata (American eel), 852 nucleotides long. RefSeq lists it as uncharacterized. The record is from RefSeq and is a predicted model, not a curated record. NCBI's taxonomy places the organism in Eukaryota, Metazoa, Chordata, Actinopteri, Anguilliformes, Anguillidae. The transcript is spliced from 3 exons.
CUUAAUCGGUUGCUGGAGUCCUCACUAAAAUGAAACUUCUAGGUUUCUAAAGAUGCACCAUGCCGAUUAAUUGUAUGCUACUGAUGAUUCGCUGUUCAUAAUGCAGCCUUGCAUUUCCGUUUAAAUCGGUUUUAUUGACUUCGUUUAGCACUGAUGCUAAAGAAGGUUCAAGGACUUUGCAAAUAGCCAGCAGCAGCCAGUGAGGGUCUGUGUCCCCCCUGGAAGAUGCAGGACCUUCGUGCUCCAGAACACCGUACUCCACAUCUUCCGCACCCAAAUUUCAGACGCCGCCGCCGCCGCUCCCUUUCGGCAUCCCCUCCUCAGUGCGGCGCGGGCACGUGGCCGUCCACGUAGAAAUUUCGGGUGAUCUUGGGAAGAGUCACCUCAAGGCCGUCCAUCUCGCGGGUCAGAAUGAUCUGACAGCCCAGCCGAGAGUUCUCCUGCAGCAUGGGGGCCAUGUCCAGCAUGUCGUCCUCCCUGUGAAUCCGGAAGAUCGGGUGGAAACGAAUGGAUGUGCUUCUGGUUUUGGAUUGAGCUGAAUACGUAACUGUCUGGAUCUUGAGGAACAGAUUGACAAAACAACGGAGAUCACUCAGACUGCAGUGAAAUCAUUUUAACAGAUCCGCAUGCGGCCAUCUUUUCCUUCUCCUUCUUGUUCUGACUUUCAGCUGAAGGCCUGUUUUACGAUGGAGCAGAGCCUUAUGUCCUCCAAACCGCAAAUACAUUCCACCCACAUGAAAGGGUAACCCGGCAAAAUAACAGAGAGUACAUAUGGAUUAAACACAGCAGUCAAAAUGAAAUUAAACUGACAUGGUUGUCACUAUUAUGAUAAAGAGCAUGUGCUGUCCUUCA